CUUCUAUUUCCCAGCAAAAGUUCCGAACCGAAACGCAAGGCGGCACUCCGGUUGUUGACCCCGCCCCCGCCCCUGCCCCCGCCGUCGCCGCCGCCGGGUCUCCCUUGUCCUGCUCACCGCUGUUCAUCACGCCCCUUAGGUGGAAACAGAGAGUGAAUUCCAGGCCUACAUAGCAGGGCAGUCCCACCGAACCCUCUUCUUCUGCCUCGUGAUUAGAGCACUGGCAGCAACCGCAUCUGAAAGGUUUGAGGGAAGGCGAUCCGAUAUGCAUCAGUGACAGCGAAGGUCUUCAGAAACCUGGGAUGGAAGAGAUGGUGAAGAAGGGAGCGGAGAUGCUGAAAGCGAAUACUACUCAGAUGAUGCUGCUGUGUGGACCUCCUCCGGCGCCAAACAUGGACGGGCGCGACUGAAGCUGAAGAUGGGUGGCAUGUUGGGCUCGGCAUCGUCUGCGGAGGACGUACUGCUGGGUCUUUGCUGGCGUAGGGUGUUGUAGUCUAUUUUGGUGAUUGAUGGUACUUUGGCCUUGUCCUGGUGAUGUGCGGCUGUAAUGUGUGUGAUACUUCUCUAGUUCCAUGUAGGCAGUUUCGGGUGAUAACAGGUUUUCGCCCCAUAAUCUGUUGUUCCUGAUGACAGGCGCAGAUAGUGGGUUUCCUGUUAUUGCCCCGGACUCGCUUUUCUUCUUUCCCUAGCCCUUCUAGUUUCAGUUUCCUGAGACAGUGUAUUUCCGUUAUGAAAAGUAAUGGAAAGGGGAAA
Long non-coding RNA from Triticum aestivum (bread wheat), 753 nucleotides. RefSeq lists it as uncharacterized. The transcript is spliced from 4 exons. The record is from RefSeq and is a predicted model, not a curated record. Lineage: Eukaryota; Viridiplantae; Streptophyta; Magnoliopsida; Poales; Poaceae.